GAUGAACGCUGGCGGCGUGCCUAAUACAUGCAAGUCGAGCGAACAGACGAGGAGCUUGCUCCUCUGACGUUAGCGGCGGACGGGUGAGUAACACGUGGAUAACCUACCUAUAAGACUGGGAUAACUUCGGGAAACCGGAGCUAAUACCGGAUAAUAUAUUGAACCGCAUGGUUCAAUAGUGAAAGACGGUUUUGCUGUCACUUAUAGAUGGAUCCGCGCCGCAUUAGCUAGUUGGUAAGGUAACGGCUUACCAAGGCAACGAUGCGUAGCCGACCUGAGAGGGUGGUCGGCCACACUGGAACUGGGACACGGUCCAGGCUCCUACGGGAGGCAGCAGUAGGGAAUGUUCCGCAAUGGGCGAAAGCUUGGCGGAGCAACGCCGCGUGAGUGAUGAAGGUCUUCGGAUCGUAAAACUCUGUUAUUAGGGAAGAACAAAUGUGUAAGUAACUAUGCACGUCUUGACGGUACCUAAUCAGAAAGCCACGGCUAACUACGUG
Molecule: ribosomal RNA, 497 nt
Filed under: uncultured bacterium
Lineage: Bacteria
Description: partial 16S ribosomal RNA
Rfam family: Bacterial small subunit ribosomal RNA
Source: RNAcentral